GUCCACUGAUGGUUCUGCGCGGAGAAGGAAAGGGGAGUCAACCCCUCUGGGGCCUCUUCCAGCUCCAAGAUUCUGGAACGUGUCCCAGGUUGUCACAACAAAGGAUUCACAAAGGCUGUGCUGAAGCAUGCUCCGGGUACACCAGGAGCGCUUCGAGGAGGGGCAGAGCAACCAUCACUGCCCAUGUCAGAACCAAGACACCAUGCACCAAGAGGAACCUCAGGUGCAGUGCGGGAACAUGAGACAUCUCCUUCCUAUAGUGAGGAUGUCUGUGCAUCUGCGGCUGAUAGGGAAACAAGUGGGGAUGCUUUCCCCAAACUGCACGAUGGUCCCUUGGCUAAGAAGAACCCCAGACAGACCACAGAGGCAGCCAGGACACAGGCGGGGGCUUCCAGGCGAGCCUCCCAGACGAGCCUCCCAGAUGAGCCUCCCGAGUAAGCAGGAGCCAUAAGACGUACCCGCGCACAAGUGAUCCAACGAGAGGACAUCUGUCCGCGAACAAGCAGGAGUUAUCAGCAGGUGACAGCUGGAGCCGGUUUUACAGACAUCUCAUUAUAAAGGAAAACAUGGAUCCUGUUCAUCCUAUAAAGGAUCGCAUUCUUAUGCAUUGGUUAUAUAAAUUUAUAUAGUAAUACUAUUUAAUC
This is a long non-coding RNA of Canis lupus familiaris (dog), 644 nucleotides long. RefSeq lists it as uncharacterized. The transcript is spliced from 3 exons. NCBI's taxonomy places the organism in Eukaryota, Metazoa, Chordata, Mammalia, Carnivora, Canidae. The record is from RefSeq and is a predicted model, not a curated record.